Molecule: small nucleolar RNA, 74 nt
Organism: Phragmites australis (common reed)
Lineage: Eukaryota; Viridiplantae; Streptophyta; Magnoliopsida; Poales; Poaceae
Product: small nucleolar RNA snoR53Y
Exons: 1
Source: RefSeq, a predicted model, not a curated record
GUUCCCUGUGAUGGUAAAUUUACCAUGCUAAUACUGAUGUCCUUUGACGAGUACAAUAAUGUGCUGAGGGAACC